GACGAACGCUGGCGGCGUGCUUAACACAUGCAAGUCGAGCGGUAAGGCCCUUUCGGGGGUACACGAGCGGCGAACGGGUGAGUAACACGUGGGUGACCUGCCCUCAGCUCUGGGAUAAGCCUGGGAAACCGGGUCUAAUACUGGAUAUGACUCCAUGACGCAUGUUGUGGGGUGGAAAGCCUUGUGCGGCUGAGGAUGGGCCCGCGGCCUAUCAGCUUGUUGGUGGGGUGANGGCCUACCAAGGCGACGACGGGUAGCCGGCCUGAGAGGGCGACCGGCCACACUGGGACUGAGACACGGCCCAGACUCCUACGGGAGGCAGCAGUGGGGAAUCUUGCGCAAUGGGCGAAAGCCUGACGCAGCGACGCC
This 369-nucleotide ribosomal RNA is filed under the name uncultured bacterium. Its description in RNAcentral is "bacterial SSU rRNA". It matches the Rfam family "Bacterial small subunit ribosomal RNA", at positions 28 to 398 of the family's 1533-position model. The record is from RNAcentral.